This 69-nucleotide microRNA precursor is filed under the name Myotis brandtii (Brandt's bat). RNAcentral's name for it is "mir-711 microRNA precursor family". It matches the Rfam family "mir-711 microRNA precursor family". The record is from Rfam by way of RNAcentral. Lineage: Eukaryota; Metazoa; Chordata; Mammalia; Chiroptera; Vespertilionidae.
CCUGACUGUGGGUCUCUCCUCAGGGUGCUCCGGGCAAAGCUGGGGACCCCGGGAGAGACGUAAGUAAGG